GGCCGCUACCAGAUCUCCGCCCGUCGCUCCUACCGAUUGGGUGUGCUGGUGAAGAGUUCGGACUGGCCAGGCGCUCGCAAGGGCUCCCGGCCGGGAAGUUCUUUGAACCCUCUCGCCUAGAGGAAGGAGAAGUCGUAACAAGGUUUCCGUAGGUGAACCUGCGGAAGGAUCAUUUAUUCGAUCGUAACAACACGCCAAUCAAAGGUAACCACUCAGUAACCCCGGGGACCCCGACCCCCUCCCCCCCGCUCGCGGGGAGUUGGAGAGGGGAGCUCUCUCCGGGGCAAAAAUUUUUCUCACCACAACCGCCAAAGUUGAUUAUCAAGCUCAAGCAUUAACAAAGUCGCACCCGCACCCGGCACCGCCGGUCGGGCUCGCGCAAGCAACCAAGAAAAACCCCUAACAACGGAUGUCUUGGCUCUCGCAACGAUGAAGAACGCAGCGAAGUGCGAUAUGUAGUGUGAAUUGCAGAAUUACGUGAAUCAUCGAAUCUUUGAACGCAUAUGGCACCCGAGACCUCGGUCGAGGGUAUGUCUGCCUCAGAGUCGGCGUAAAUCAACUCCCUCCUUGGCCCAGCCAAGCAUGGGGAACUGACCCUCCCGCGCCGCGUGCGCGGGUCGGUCGAAGGCGAGAAACGGGUGUUGCCGGCCGGGACCGUUCCCGGCUGACCGAGAUUUGUUGGAGGACCAACGUCCUAUCUCCGUCUCGGGAAAAGGGUUACGGUCAGUGCCGAGCACUCCCGCCGUGCAGGAAAAACGAGGGCGCGUCGGAGUCCCCAGGGACCGAGACAGGAGCCCCCACUUGCAUCCGACCUGAGUUCAGGCAAGAUCACCCGCUGAACUUAAGCAUAUCAAUAAGCGGAGGAAAAGAAACUAACCAGGAUUCCCCUAGUAACGGCGAGCGAAAAGGGAAACUCUGGAAUUCGU
This 926-nucleotide ribosomal RNA is filed under the name Phycopeltis epiphyton. RNAcentral describes it as "eukaryotic LSU rRNA". The stretch from base 395 to 548 matches the Rfam family "5.8S ribosomal RNA". The record is from RNAcentral. Lineage: Eukaryota; Viridiplantae; Chlorophyta; Ulvophyceae; Trentepohliales; Trentepohliaceae.